UGGUGAAAAUUUUCACUAUAU
This 21-nucleotide non-coding RNA is filed under the name Caenorhabditis elegans. The record is from RNAcentral. Lineage: Eukaryota; Metazoa; Nematoda; Chromadorea; Rhabditida; Rhabditidae.